This 263-nucleotide unclassified non-coding RNA is filed under the name plant metagenome. Its description in RNAcentral is "partial contains small subunit ribosomal RNA, internal transcribed spacer 1, and 5.8S ribosomal RNA". The record is from RNAcentral.
UUUCCGUAGGUGAACCUGCGGAAGGAUCAUUAUUGUAUAACCGAGGUGCGAGGGCUGUCGCUGACCCGAAAGGUCGUGCACGCCAGAGUGCCCCCACACACAUCCAUCUCACCCCUAUGUGCACCACCGCGUGGGUCCCCCUUUGGCUUGUUCGGAGGGGGGCUUACGUUUUCACACAAACUUUGUAUGCAGUGUAGAAUGUAUUUUUUGUUUUUGCGAUCACGCAAUCAAUACAACUUUCAACAACGGAUCUCUUGGCUCUC